GUGUGUUUGGUAAUAUUGGAAAAAUUGGAACGAUAUAUAGAGAAGAUUAUCAUGGCCCCUACGCAGGUAUGACACAAAAAUCAUGAAGCGUUUUGAACUUUUUU
Frankliniella occidentalis (western flower thrips) is the source of this 104-nucleotide small nuclear RNA. The record is from RefSeq and is a predicted model, not a curated record. Lineage: Eukaryota; Metazoa; Arthropoda; Insecta; Thysanoptera; Thripidae.